AGCUGGCAACCCUUUAGAAACGUCUGGGUAGGGGAAUUAUUCAACAGCACGAUGAUUCAUGCUCCCCAGUUCUGCAGAGGAGAUGGUCACAGAGCUUUUUUCCACUGGGAGGAGGGAGACAAGGGGCAGACAGGCUUGGCUCCACACUCAAGAGAAAUGAGUCUGAAUUUUCUCAUCUUUCCCUCAAUAUUUUCUCAGCUCCUGGAUGUGUGGGAGGAAAAGGAAGUUAUUCAGGAUCUAUUAUGACUUUCCACUACGUUGCUGCACUUUGGAUUAGUGUUUGUAUUACGUCUGCAGCCCAUUGUCUCCUGAAUGAGCUGAUUCCUACCUCCCCAUUCUGUUAUCUCUCCAUCGAGGCAGCUGAAAUUGCCUGUGAAGAGACUACUUGGGUUUGCUUAUCAGACCUGGGUGAAUGUACAUUUAAAUUCCUUUUAAAUGUACAGAAAGAUUUCAGAGAUUAAAGCAUGCCUAUGCCAUGGGCCUAUGCUAUCAAAACCAUAUUAGGGAAAUUUCUGGGUUUUAAGCUCUAAUAUCAAUUCAGGAGCCAUAAGAUAGGAGGAUUUAGAGCCAGCCUUUCUCAGAACAUUGGUGCAAAAGCAAAUGAGAGCUGACACCCUACUUGGGAAGAGGAAAAAUACCCACAGAAUUUUUAAAACCCCAGUCUGAAUUUAGUAUAGUUUCUCAGGGAUCCACUAGAAACAAUGUCUUGAUGGUUCCUCAUAUUUUUAAAUCUUUUUGGCCUCCUCACAUUAUUUACACUGAGGGAAUUUCCAUCCCCUUAAACUCUGUGCAUAACAAGAGAGAUGUGUCUUGUUCAUAAAGCUGUGUUGUUAAAAGUAGUCCCUAUUCUACAUAAUCGGUUAUAAACUCUUUACUUAAAGUAGAAGGAUCUUUUUUUUUUCCACAAAAUAGACAUAAAUGCUUAUUAAUCUUUUCCAGGUGUGUAAAAGCAAAUAAAAAGGCCAAACUCUAAUCUAUGUUUAACAUUUUAAACAGAAUCUUACUGCACAUAAAUGUAUGCUGUGAUGCUGACCAUUCAUUUACCCAUUUUCAAGGUGUGUGGCCCUAUUAAGUUGGGAAAUUCAUCUACAGCUCACACAUACGUGCCUCUGUUUCUGGUAGCAGGGGUAUUUUGAUAUGUACCAAACACCAAAGCCUGACAUCAUUUUUUGGCAGGCAUGUGGAUAUUUUGGGUUGUAAUUGCUGGCUUGCAUGUCAGUGCACUCCUGCUGUCUGUUAACCAGAACCAUCUCCUUGUUCUUCUGGGGUUUUUUGCCAAUCCUUUCUCUGAGCUCAGCAAAUUAAGGUUUUUUCACCAGCUAAAAGGGUUUCAUUUCUGUGUACAGUUUGCUUUUGUGCAAUGCAGAGAUGCCCAAAUCCCUGUGCUCCAGUUGGAAAAUCAUAUCCUAAAGUUCUAUGAACAUUCCCUUGAACCCUUUGUUUUUACUUCCUCAUCUAAGUGCUCACAGUGAACAUUCCCAGUGCAGUGUUUUGCAGUUUAGGGUCUUCUGGGGGUCAUAAACAGGGUCCCAAAUACCCUCUACAGCCAUAACUUCCUCUAUAGCUGAACUGGAAGGUUGUUGGUGGUAGAGAAAUAUUUUGCUGUAAAUUAAGGCCAUAAACAUGGAAAAAUGUUGGCAGUCAUUAACACCAAAUGGGUACAAUUUUGGUGGGCAAAAUUUUUGGCAGCAACAUAAAACCAUUUUGAUUUGAAUAUUUAGAAAACAGGCAAAGUGAAGAUUUAUUUCUGCUCAUGAACAGAAAUCUCAUCCUUGUCCUAGAGUCCUUUUUGAUGGAAGGAGCUGCAAAAGUACUCUGUAAAGAAGGGACAGUGAGGGCUGUUUGGCACAGCUGUGAGGAGAUGGGCUGCACCUGUGGCGAAGCACUGCAAAUUUGUUCUUGGUGUGGAGUCUUUAAAAAGCACCUGAAGCCUCUCUGGAUUUUGAGGUCUGAGGAUGAGACCCCUCAAUUUUCAGUUAUUGUGGCUUCAGCUCCUGCAGGAACUCUGGCCAAAUGAGGAUCCUCCAUGGCUUUUUGUCACUUUUUUCUGAAUGGUGCAUGAAAAUACAGCAGCUGAGGGGAGUUCACUUGGAAAAGUUUCUAAGCCUUGCUGAGUUCUGAGCUCCAGGAAAAUCCCACAGUGCUGCCUGUGGUGUCUUGUGCUUAACCAAGCGUCUGGAAAUGCUGGGAUCAUCAUCGUCCUUUCCAAGGGCUGUGUCAGAGCUCCAUGGCAGGGACAGCUGGCACUGCCAGGGUUUGUGGGGCUGGGGAUGGGCACCCUGGAGCCACUGUGGCUUUGCAAAACCCAGGGAAUGGCUGCAGGACUGGGAAUCCCACAAGUGCUGAGAGAGGAAACCCAGCAGCUUUCCCCACAUGGGUAAAAACUUAAAUGUUAUCCAUUAAAAACAUAACGGACACACUUCCCAAAUGUUUGAACUUUAAAAAGGAAGUCAGGAUUCCUGUUUCACUCAAUAAAAGGUUUCAUUUUCAGGUUGGGCAUCAGGAGGAAUUUCUUCAUGGGAAGGGUUGUUAACCAUGGGAAUGGGCUGUCCAGGGAGGUGGUGGGGUCCCCACUCCAAAAAUUACUGGAUAUGGCACUCAGUGGUUUUUUUGGGAUUUCUCAGGGAUUGAACUUCCUGCUCUUGGAGGUCUUUUCCAGUGUAAAUGAUCAUGAGGAAAAGCCAACAAAAAUCUCAAGCAAAAGCCCCUGAUGCUCUUGCAAUGCUUAAACCUGAGCAUAUUAAACACCAAUAUCUUCCACAGGCUAAAAGAAGGCAGUUCUGGCAUGUUCAUCCUCUGGAUUUAAAGAUAUUUCUUAAUUUUUUCUACUUUGAGGCAGUUGGAUGGUGAGGAUCCAAUGAUUGGAGUUCAGAUACUCGAGUCUAGAUUUGAGGAGGGAUAUGGAGUUUUAGUUUGGACCAGUCAUUGAGAAGGCAAAUAACCUGGUUUUUAGUGUGGCUGGAUUGCCCUCAGAUCUUUAUCAUGUAUUUAAAACCCAGGCCUCUGCCUGAAAACUGGUUAGAGAAAGUCUUUUGUAUUUUCUUUUGUAUUUUCUUUUGUAUAGUCAUCACUGUUGGGUGAUGAUUCCCUCGUGGUAUUUCUAAGAAUGAUUACAAUAGAAGUAAUAUUUUUUUAAUACAGCACAAAAUAUUUGUUUGUAUUGCUUCUUGCAGAUUAAUGCUCCAAGCAGCCUUUACUUUUAUGGCUUUUAAAGAAUCUGUCCUGUCAAUAGAACAAAAAUGCUCAUGGUACAAUUUCCAGUGAAGAGCAAAUAUUAUAAAUAUUUAAUAUAUAUUAAAUAUUUAUAUUUAAUAUAUUUUAAAUACAUUAUAUAAUUUAAUAUAUAUUAAAUAUUUAAUAAAUCAUUAUUCAAUUCGCACAUCAUGGAAAGCGAUGCCUUUCUUAAAAGUUCAAAUGAACUUUUUUUCUUUUCUCCUUUUCUUUUCCCCUUCUUUUUUUGAGAACUGCAUAAUUCAUCCAAAUUCAGUUGCUAAGAGGAAGCACUUGAGAUUUUGUAAAAGUCUGCUGUGGUGAGCUGUGGCAUUGCACAGGAAAAAAGAGACAGUUAUUAGUGUAAAAGAAUCUUUAUCCUUGUACUCAUUUAAACAAAAAUGAGGGUGUUGUCCUGAGCAAGGUAAAAAGCAAAUUUCUUACUCAAGUAAGACUUAUUUCUCACUCAUAAUGGGUGACAAUAAUGAAAGAAGCCAACAAAACAACAAAUCUUGAACACUGAAUUUCAAAGACAGCUUGAGACUGGGGUCAGGGCCACAAAUAUUUCUGAGAAGUGCAGAGUACUGAGUACAUUUUGUAUUGGCUAAAAGAGCUCCUGAAUUUUAAAAGGCAUUAAAAUAUGUAAAUUCAUGCAUUGCUUGGGCCAAUAAAGUAUUAAAGGUGCAGGAAAAAGGUCUACACUCCUCACAGGUGCUUUGGGGCAUUGCUCUGGUAGUCUUCUUAAGGAAUGCAUCUGCAUGCUUAUUUUUCAUCUUGAAUUUACAAAUAUCAGAUUGUGAAAAACAGUCCAUGAAGUGUUUUAAAGAGAAUCCAGAGUAUUUGGGAGGAAUGUAGAUGAAACAUUUCCUUACUAUUUAAGGCAGAAGAAAUUUACUUCAUUCAUUCAUUCCUUGAGCAUCUGAAAAAAAAAAGAAAAAAAACCCCCAAAAAUUGAAACCUUUUCUUCCUGUCUUAUUCUGGCAGAUUUUGCUUCAAAAACCCUCAAUGUGAGUUUUCUAGAAAAGCAGUGCACCAAAUAUAGUGACUGUACUAAUAAUUAUCAGCUUCAUCAAAACAGAGGUUUAGUAGUCUCAAAUAUUCACCUUUCAUCUAGGUGAAUAAAAUGGGCAAGCUGGAAACUGUAGUAUAUUAUUAGAAUUUAAUGUAUCUUCCUUUUUUUUUUCUCUCCCUAAAAAUGUCAAUGUUUUAACACAUAUGAUUUUUUUUUUCCCUUGAAUCUUUGUCUCAGAGUUCUAUUAACGACACUUACAGUAACAACACUCUCAGUAUCCCUGUUAGUUUAAUUUCUGUCUUGGUUUUGCUGGGAUGAUAUUAAAAUUGUUGUUACAGCUUUUAUCACAGAUGAAAUCACAUAGACUUAAUGUUAGCUGGUACCCUAAGAAUUGCAAGAAACUGGUAUUCUAUUUCUUUCAGUGUUUAUUGCAUGUGAGAAACAAUUCUUUGCCAAAAAGUGUGACAAUUUAUAACAUAAAUAUGGAAAGAACCUGAUUUCUGUGUGGAAGAGUUAGACUUGAAAAGUAUAACUAUGUGAUUUUGAGGGAUCAUUUUGCUAUAAUGCAUUGCUCUGUAAACUUGCUAUUAUGAAUAUAUGAAUUAUGGGCCUAUUUCACAAAAUCAGAGAAACAUUAUAAAAAAUAAAUGUUAUUCAUUUAAAAAUGGCCAUGUUCGUGGUGCUCAGGAAACUUUUAAAAGUUUUUAAAUUGUUGCAAUAUUUACUAAAGCCACUGGCUAGUUUGAGGUUUAGAAUCAUUGAACAUCCUGAGCUGGAAGGGACCCAAAAGGAUCAUUAGGUUUGAAAUGCUAUUUUUGCUUUCUAAUGUAUAUUUUAUAAUUGAUCCUUAAGCUUCCCUGAAGUUUAUAAUUUUAGUUACUAUUUUUAUAAGUGAGAAAUUGCUGCGCCUUAAUAAAAAGCUUCCAAUAAAGAGCCUUGUGUGGAGAAAAAGGAGAGAUCUUAAAUCCCAGGGAAGACAGAAAACAAGAGAACAGUUGGUAAUAGACUGAAAGCUUGUAAAAAUCAUUAAGUCUUUGUGGAGGUUGGUAAACAGUAGACAAACUGUCCUCAUGGAAGUUCUUGA
Long non-coding RNA from Passer domesticus (house sparrow), 5306 nucleotides. RefSeq lists it as uncharacterized. The record is from RefSeq and is a predicted model, not a curated record. The transcript has 5 exons. NCBI's taxonomy places the organism in Eukaryota, Metazoa, Chordata, Aves, Passeriformes, Passeridae.